RNAcentral lists this ribosomal RNA (212 nucleotides) under uncultured bacterium. RNAcentral's name for it is "partial 16S ribosomal RNA". It matches the Rfam family "Bacterial small subunit ribosomal RNA", at positions 1281 to 1500 of the family's 1533-position model. The record is from RNAcentral.
GCCUGUCCCAGUUCGGACUGGAGUCUGCAACCCGACUCCACGAAGUUGGAUUCGCUAGCAAUCGCGCAUCAGCCAUGGCGCGGUGAAUACGUUCCCGGGCCUUGUACACACCGCCCGUCAAGCCAUGGGAGCCGGGGGCGCCUGAAGUCCGGGACCGCGAGGACCGGCCUAGGGCGAAACUGGUAACUGGGGCUAAGUCGUAACAAGGUAUC